Molecule: non-coding RNA, 176 nt
Filed under: Spiroplasma apis
Lineage: Bacteria; Bacillati; Mycoplasmatota; Mollicutes; Entomoplasmatales; Spiroplasmataceae
Description: T-box sequence
Rfam family: T-box leader
About the family: Uncharged tRNA acts as the effector for transcription antitermination of genes in the T-box leader family. T-boxes are found upstream of many aminoacyl-tRNA synthetase genes and some amino acid biosynthetic genes usually in Gram-positive bacteria. The anticodon of a specific tRNA base pairs to a specifier sequence within the T-box motif, and the NCCA acceptor tail of the tRNA base pairs to a conserved bulge in the T-box antiterminator hairpin.
Source: RNAcentral
AUAAUAUUUCUAGACAUAAGGAGUAGGUAUCUUUAUUCUUUCAGAGAGUUAGUGGUUGGUGCGAACUAAUAUUAUAAAAUACCGAAGGUUGUAUGGUUAAUUAAAUUAAAUAUUUUAGAGUGGACUCUACUAAUGAGUCAAUCAGGAUGGUACCGCGGAUUUAAUUCGUUCCUUUU